CUACGGGAGGCAGCAGUGAGGAAUUUUGCGCAAUGGGGGAAACCCUGACGCAGCGACGCCGCGUGGAGGAUGACGGCCUUCGGGUUGUAAACUCCUGUCAGAGGUGAAGAAUCCCCGCAAGGGGUUGACGGUAACCUCAAAGGAAGCCCCGGCUAACUACGUGCCAGCAGCCGCGGUAAUACGUAGGGGGCAAACGUUACUCGGAAUUACUGGGCGUAAAGGGUGUGUAGGCGGCUGAGUAAGUCAAAGAUGAAAUCCCAUGGCUUAACUGUGGAAUUGUCUUUGAAACUGCUCGGCUUGAGGAUAGUCGAGGAGAAUGGAAUUCCCGGUGGAGCGGUGAAAUGCGUAGAUAUCGGGAGGAACACCCGAGGCGUAAGCGAUUCUCUAUCCUAUUCCUGACGCUGAAACACGAAAGCUAGGGGAGCGAACGGGAUUAGAUACCCCGGUAGUCCUAGCUAUAAACGAUGGACACUAGAUAUUCCUGCGUUUAUGUGGGAGUGUCGAAGCUAACGCGCUAAGUGUCCCGCCUGGGGAGUACGGUCGCAAGGCUGAAACUUAAAGGAAUUGAC
This 569-nucleotide ribosomal RNA is filed under the name uncultured bacterium. Its description in RNAcentral is "bacterial SSU rRNA". It matches the Rfam family "Bacterial small subunit ribosomal RNA", at positions 339 to 914 of the family's 1533-position model. The record is from RNAcentral.